CAUGGAGAACCAAUCCCCAAAAGAUAACGCAACUCCUUGAUGGACACAGAUGAUUUAUGCUUUUCACCACCGGGAAUCGUAAGGGUGGAAACCGAUCUGUUAAAGUCGGUAAAUGAUAAACUGAACAUACUUGAAUUAGUCAGUAAAGAUAAAAAAAGAGUUGAAGGGGAGCCUUGAGAUGAGUGACGAAAAAGCUGUGACAAUGGAGAAAGAAAGAAACAAGCUAAAAGGUGACCCACAAGACUGUGCUGAGUCUAGAUGAGAAAUGGACUGAGGCGGCUGCUGUCACUAUGAUAGAGAUCAUGCCCAUGUCCCUCUCAGACACCAUCAUACUCAACAGGCCCUUCCUGCUCUUCAUCCUGGAGGACUACCAAGAGCAUCAUCUUCAUGGACAAGAUCACCAACCCCACAGCCGAGUGAAAGACGGAGAGGAAGAAAUAAUGAGAGGGAGGAACAUCUGAGGAGAUUGAAGGAAGGUCUUUGUCUCUCAUGCUAGUGGUAAAACAUAAAGGAUCGGUAUCUGAUUUUUCGGUUUUCUGUAGAGCAUUCAUGUGUUGGAUGCUUUGUCUAGGCAAGUCAGGGAGUUUUGAACCCAUACAUGUGUUUUUCUAUCUACUGCAUACCUAGAAACAUAGGGUUGUGUGUCUGUGUGUGUCUCUGUGUUUGCGGUUCUGUCAAAAUGUUACUGAUGUCCAUGCCAGUCUGGCGAUAGCAAUAUACAAUUUGAUGUGUCGUCAUUAUGUCUACGUGAGUUGUCUUCAGAUAAUCCAAUUGGACAAAGGGCUUUAUGCCUUUAUGGAAUGGAUGUUUUUUUUCUUAUGCAUCACCCAAAAGACACUGGUUAGAUAAUAAAAAGUUAAACAUGAACCCACAAUUUUGAAUAGUUUAUACUGGGCUGAUGUCUCAAGCAUAGGCUUAACUGCAUGCAAUUUUACUGAGGGCUCCUCUUAACUGAGAUCAUCUCAGCAUUAUUUGGCAAAGAUGACGUAGGUCUAAGAUAGCCCUUUUUUGCCGUUCUCGAGAAAAGUAUUAUAUACAGUGAAUCCCUGGGAUAUAUUUAAAGAUCAGCGUUCGACAUAUCUGUACAUGCGCUGUAUUAGAGGGAAAAAGUGAUAGAAGAAACUACGGUUGAGAACUCUUAAGCGGGGGGCGCAUCUCAACGGGGUGUCUAAUCUACCCAUGCUUCUCAGACCAGAUCAUAAAGCAGCCACCAUUUUGACCACAAAAAAAACAGCUUUGUUCAUUAGCUUCUUCAACCCCCCUCUUCUUCUCAACCCCAACCCCAGUCAUCUCUUAUCUGCUCCUCCAUAUAUUGAAUCUUAAAGAGAUCAAAGGGCAUGAUAUGCAUAAAGUCAGGCAAGGAGAUGGAUUGUGUGAAAUGGCCAUCUAUAAUGCAUCGUAAGGACAGGAGCUCGUCACGUCAAGCCUGUAGUUUUAAUGUGCGGCUCAUGCAUGGUUGCGUAAGACCUACCUAGUAUUACUGCUGGAUCAGAGAGACUGGAGAAACAGAUACAGAUCAUUCGGGCAGAAUUGUGAAGAGAGAGAGAGGAAAAAAAGGUAAAGAAGAAAGUUGACUGAAGAGAACUUUGUCCUCUAGCUACCGUCUUCUUCUUAAAGGCCGCAGCAGUAAUUUGAACGUCUAAAAGACAGAGAUAUUAUGGUGGGGCCCCACAUUGAAUUAAUGAUAACUCGCUCUAGUCUACCUGAAAGUUUGUUCACUAUAAGCCUAUUAUGGUGCUUUUAUUUCAUCAAUUGUUUUCUGCCUGAGCUUUUUGUUUGAUGUUUUCUUCAGUUAGCUCAGCUGUUGACCAUAUCACUAAAACUAUGCUUUGAAGUUUUACCGUCCUACUAUUAUGUCUCUAACCUCUUUUUUCUGUAGCAUUUUAAUCCGUUUUAUUUUUGUAAUUAUCUUUUUAGUCAAAUGUUCUUUUUUUUCUUUAUCAGAGUUUACACAGACAACAAAACAAAGUGCAACAUACAGACAGCGUACAGGGAAUUAAGUAAAAAUACAGUAAAAAAUAUGACAAAGGAGCAGUCAUUAAAUAAAAGGACAGCCGUAUAGGUUACAGUGCCUUCAGAAAGUAUUCACACUCCUUGACUUUUUCCAGAUUUUGUUGUGUUACAGCCUGAAUUUAUAAUGGAUUACAUUAAUCUUUUGUGUCACUGGCCUGCACACAAUACCCCAUAAUGUCAAGGUGGAAUUAUGCUUUUGAAAAUGUUUACAAAUGUAUUAAAAAUGAAAAGUUGAAUGUCUCGAGUCAAUAAGUAUUCAACCCCUUUGUUAUGGCAAGCUUAAAUUGUCACACCCUGAUCUGUUUCACCUGUAGUUAUACCUGUGUUCUCUGUUUGUCUGUUGCCAGUUCGUUUUGUUUUGUGAAACCCUACCAGCGGUUUCCCCCUUGCUCCUGUCUGGUCUAGUUCCUGUUUUCUAGUUUCCCCCAGUUUUGACCAUUCUGCCUACCCUGACCCUGAGCCUGUCUGCUGUUCUGUAUCUUGCCACAUCAUAUUGGAUUAUUGACAUCUGCCUGCUCUGACCCCGAGACUGCCUGCCAUUCUGGACCUUUUGCACCCUAUCUGGAUUAUUGACCCCUGCCUGCUCUGACCCCGAGACUGCCUGCCAUUCUGGACCUUUUGCACCCUAUCUGGAUUAUUGACCC
Molecule: long non-coding RNA, 2657 nt
Filed under: Salmo salar (Atlantic salmon)
Lineage: Eukaryota; Metazoa; Chordata; Actinopteri; Salmoniformes; Salmonidae
Description: lncRNA (ENSSSAG00000102300.1, ENSSSAG00000119234.1)
Source: RNAcentral